RNAcentral lists this ribosomal RNA (253 nucleotides) under uncultured bacterium. Its description in RNAcentral is "partial 16S ribosomal RNA". It matches the Rfam family "Bacterial small subunit ribosomal RNA", at positions 524 to 776 of the family's 1533-position model. The record is from RNAcentral.
GACGAACCGUGCGAACGUUAUUCGGAAUCACUGGGCUUAAAGGGCGCGUAGGCGGCUUCCCAAGCCCGGGGUGAAAUCUUUCGGCUUAACCGGAAAAGGGCCUCGGGGACUGGGGGGCUAGAGGGGGGUAGGGGCAAGCGGAACUUCCGGUGGAGCGGUGAAAUGCGUUGAUAUCGGAAGGAACGCCGGCGGCGAAAGCGGCUUGCUGGACCCCAUCUGACGCUGAUGCGCGAAAGCCAGGGGAGCGAACGGG